CCUACGGGAGGCUGCAGUGGGGAAUAGUGCGCAAUGGGCGAAAGCCUGACGCAGCGACGCCGCGUGAGGGAUGAAGGUCUGCGGAUCGUAAACCUCUGUCAGCAGGGAAGAACGGUCACUGUGCUAAGCAGCAGUGAAUGGACGGUACCUGCAAAGGAAGCACCGGCUAACUCCGUGCCAGCAGCCGCGGUAAUACGGAGGGUGCGAGCGUUAAUCGGAAUUACUGGGCGUAAAGCGCUCGUAGGCGGUAUGUCAAGUCAAGGGUGAAAUCCCCGCGCUCAACGUGGGAACUGCCUUUGAAACUGGCAACCUGGCGUGUGUUAGUGGUUCGUGGACUUCCAGUUGU
This 346-nucleotide ribosomal RNA is filed under the name uncultured bacterium. RNAcentral describes it as "partial 16S ribosomal RNA". It matches the Rfam family "Bacterial small subunit ribosomal RNA", at positions 338 to 676 of the family's 1533-position model. The record is from RNAcentral.